CUUCCACCCUCGGCGAGGGGACUGGAUCCAGAGGGCAUCCCCCCGGCCCCCCUACCUCUGGCCAGUGGACCCCAAAGACUUAGCCCGGAAACACCAAGGCUGAAGGAGAGAGAAACCUUCCGGUAAGGGAGACACCCUGACGUCCAACAUGGUUGAGGUGUGAUGGAACGCCAAGAGACUUCUUCCUCAAUUUGCUCUGCAGUCUGGAAAAUGCACCUCAAAGAGAGCACAGAAUACCCUCCUAUGAGUCAGCAACACGGUCAUAUGAUUCGGUCAGAAUAUCUAUGACUAAUGCAGCCCGGAGACCUCAGCUCCUGCUGAAAGGGAGAACCGUGCAUUGGGCAUUUCUACCUCUUCCGAAGAAGCCUACAUCUCCCAGGACCUUUAGAUCCUCGCACAAUUUUCUAUUAAUCCAUCAGCAGCGGUAUCAACGCUUGCCUUCGCGAUGAGCCUGUCAGGAGGAGACCAGAAUCUAUCCCACAAACCUGGAUUUUUGGCAGAGGUUCUGGGCAAUGAAAGGAACGCUGCAGUCAGAAUCCUAAAUUCCUGAAGCGGAAGUCAGGCACCGCGCAUUGGGCAUUUCUACCUCUUCAGAAGAAGCCUACAUCUCCCAGGACCUUUAGAUCCUCACAGAAUUUUCUAUUAGUCCAUCAGUGGCGGUAUCGACGCUUGCC
Long non-coding RNA from Ornithorhynchus anatinus (platypus), 674 nucleotides. RefSeq lists it as uncharacterized. The record is from RefSeq and is a predicted model, not a curated record. The transcript is spliced from 4 exons. Lineage: Eukaryota; Metazoa; Chordata; Mammalia; Monotremata; Ornithorhynchidae.